AGUGAACGCUGGCGGCAGGCCUAACACAUGCAAGUCGAGCGGCAGCGGGCCGCUCGGGCUGCCGGCGAGCGGCGGACGGGUGAGGAAUGCAUCGGAAUCUGCCCUGUCGUGGGGGAUAACGUAGGGAAACGUAGGCUAAUACCGCAUACGACCUACGGGUGAAAGCGGGGGAUCGUAAGACCUCGCGCGAUAGGAUGAGCCGAGGUCCGAUUAGCCAGUUGGUGGGGGAAAGGCCCACCAAGGCGACGAUCGGUAGCUGGUCUGAGAGGAUGAGCAGCCACACUAGAACUUCGACACGGCCCAGCCUCCUACGGGAGGCAGCAGUGGGGAAUUUUGGACAAUGGGCGCAAGCCUGAUCCAGCCAUGCCGCGUGGGUGAAGAAGGCCUUCGGGUUGUAAAGCCCUUUUAUCGGGGAAGAAGGCCUCUGGGCUAAUACCCCGGGCGGAUGACGGUACCGGAAGAAUAAGCACCGGCUAACUUCGUG
This 484-nucleotide ribosomal RNA is filed under the name uncultured bacterium. RNAcentral's name for it is "partial 16S ribosomal RNA". It matches the Rfam family "Bacterial small subunit ribosomal RNA", at positions 30 to 507 of the family's 1533-position model. The record is from RNAcentral.